AGCGAACGCUGGCGGCAGGCUUAACACAUGCAAGUCGAGCGGGCAUCCUUGUGGUGUCCGCGGCAGACGGGUGAGUAACGCGUGGGAACGUGCCCUUCGGUUCGGAAUAACUCAGGGAAACUUGAGCUAAUACCGGAUACGUGCGAGAGCAGAAAGGUUUAUCUGCCGAAGGAUCGACCCGCGUCUGAUUAGCUAGUUGGUGAGGUUAUGGCUCACCAAGGCGACGAUCAGUAGCUGGUCUGAGAGGAUGAUCAGACACACUGGGACGGAGACACGGCCCAGACUCCUACGGGAGGCAGCAAUGGGGGAUAUUGGACAAUGGGGGCAACCAUGAUCGAGCCAUGCCGCGUGAGUGAUGACGGCCUUAGGGUUGUAAAGCGCUUUUCUCCGGGACGAUAAUGACGGUACCGGAGGAAUAAGCCCCGGCUAACUUCGUG
This 437-nucleotide ribosomal RNA is filed under the name uncultured bacterium. RNAcentral describes it as "partial 16S ribosomal RNA". It matches the Rfam family "Bacterial small subunit ribosomal RNA", at positions 29 to 507 of the family's 1533-position model. The record is from RNAcentral.